RNAcentral lists this transfer RNA (70 nucleotides) under Pelecanus crispus (Dalmatian pelican). It matches the Rfam family "tRNA". From Rfam's summary of the family: Transfer RNA (tRNA) molecules are approximately 80 nucleotides in length. Their secondary structure includes four short double-helical elements and three loops (D, anti-codon, and T loops). Lineage: Eukaryota; Metazoa; Chordata; Aves; Pelecaniformes; Pelecanidae. The record is from Rfam by way of RNAcentral.
GUCCUCGUAGCUUAAUAACAAAAGCAUGGCACUGAAGAUGCCAAGAUGUUGCGGCACGCACCCGAGGACA